RNAcentral lists this unclassified non-coding RNA (334 nucleotides) under soil metagenome. Its description in RNAcentral is "partial contains 5.8S ribosomal RNA, internal transcribed spacer 2, and large subunit ribosomal RNA". The stretch from base 1 to 120 matches the Rfam family "5.8S ribosomal RNA", at positions 35 to 154 of the family's 154-position model. The record is from RNAcentral.
GAUGAAGAACUCAGCGAAAUGCGAUAAGUAAUGUGAAUUGCAGAAUUCAGUGAAUCAUCGAAUCUUUGAACGCACAUUGCGCCCCCCAGUAUUCUGGCGGGCAUGCCUGUUCGAGCGUCAUUUCAACCAUCAAGCCCUGCUUGUGUUGGGGUCCUGCGGCUGCCCGCAGGCCCUGAAAACCAGUGGCGGGCUCGCUAGUCACACCGAGCGCAGUAGCACAUCUCGCUCAGGGCGUGCGGCGGGCUCCAGCCGUUAAAGCACCCACCUUUCGCAAGGUUGACCUCGGAUCAGGUAGGAAUACCCGCUGAACUUAAGCAUAUCAAUAAGCGGAGGA